CCUACGGGGGGCUGCAGUGGGGAAUAUUGGACAAUGGGGGGAACCCUGAUCCAGCCAUGCCGCGUGUGUGAAGAAGGCCCUCGGGUUGUAAAGCACUUUCAGUGAGGAAGAACGCCUGGUGGUUAAUACACAUCAGGAAAGACAUCACUCACAGGAGAAGCCCCGGCUAACUCCGUGCCAGCAGCCACGGUAAUACGGAGGGUGCGAGCGUUAAUCGGAAUUACUGGGCGUAAAGCGCGCGUAGGUGGCUUGAUAAGCCGGUUGUGAAAGCCCCGGGCUCAACCUGGGAACGGCAUCCGGAACUGUCAAGCUAGAGUGCAGGAGAGGAAGGUAGAAUUCCCGGUGUAGCGGUGAAAUGCGUAGAGAUCGGGAGGAAUACCAGUGGCGAAGGCGGCCUUCUGGACUGACACUGACACUGAGGUGCGAAAGCGUGGGUAGCAAACAGGAUUAGAUACCCUUGUAGUC
RNAcentral lists this ribosomal RNA (465 nucleotides) under Vreelandella stevensii. RNAcentral describes it as "partial 16S ribosomal RNA". It matches the Rfam family "Bacterial small subunit ribosomal RNA", at positions 338 to 795 of the family's 1533-position model. The record is from RNAcentral. Lineage: Bacteria; Pseudomonadati; Pseudomonadota; Gammaproteobacteria; Oceanospirillales; Halomonadaceae.